This 253-nucleotide ribosomal RNA is filed under the name uncultured bacterium. RNAcentral's name for it is "partial 16S ribosomal RNA". It matches the Rfam family "Bacterial small subunit ribosomal RNA", at positions 524 to 776 of the family's 1533-position model. The record is from RNAcentral.
UACGUAGGGAGCAAGCGUUGUCCGGAAUCAUUGGGCGUAAAGCGCGCGUAGGUGGCCCCAUAAGUCCGCUGUGAAAGUCAAAGGCUCAACCUUUGAAAGCCGGUGGAUACUGUGGGACUAGAGUACGGAAGAGGCGAGUGGAAUUCCUGGUGUAGCGGUGGAAUGCGCAGAUAUCAGGAAGAACACCUAUGGCGAAGGCAGCACUCUGGGACGGUACUGACGCUGAGACGCGAAAGCGUGGGGAGCGAACAGG